This 441-nucleotide ribosomal RNA is filed under the name Triticum aestivum (bread wheat). Its description in RNAcentral is "partial small subunit ribosomal RNA". Lineage: Eukaryota; Viridiplantae; Streptophyta; Magnoliopsida; Poales; Poaceae. The record is from RNAcentral.
AUGAAGUUAAAUGCUUCUCUAGGGCCAGAUGGUUUUAAUGUUGAAUUUUACCCGGCUGCUUGGGAUUGGAUAGGAGAUGAGAUUACCCAGCUUCAGCUUGUUAUCAACUUUUAUCUUACUGCUGUUCUGCCUCCUCACAUUAAUGAUACCAACAUUGCUCUUAUUCCUAAGAAGUUGGUUCCUCAAGUCCCUAUGGAUUAUCGUCCAAUUAGCCUUUGUAAUGUUGUUUAUAAAAUUAUUGCUAAAUCGCUUGCUAAUAGGAUCAAGCCUCUCCUGCCUGAUUAUAUAGAUCCUUCUCAGCAAGCUUUCAUUGAGGGUAGAAGAAUUAGUGAUAAUAUCAUCAUUGCCCAAGAGAUUACUCACUCUUUCUCCUUGAAAUUCUGGAAACAUAAUGCUUUCAUGCUUAAAAUAGAUCUUGCUAAAGCCUUUGAUCGUCUUUAA